AGGGAGUUUGAUCCUGGCUCAGGAUGAACGCUAGCGGCAGGCUUAACACAUGCAAGUCGCGGGGCAGCGCGGGUAGCAAUACCUGGCGGCGACCGGCGGAAGGGUGCGUAACGCGUGAGCAACAUGCCCGUCUCAGGGGGAUAACCGAUGGAAACGUCGCCUAAUACCCCGUAACAACAGUUAUCGCAUGAUGGUUGUUUGAAAGCUCCGGCGGAGACGGAUUGGCUCGCGUGACAUUAGCUGGUUGGCGGGGUAACGGCCCACCAAGGCGACGAUGUCUAGGGGUUCUGAGAGGAAGGUCCCCCACACUGGAACUGAGACACGGUCCAGACUCCUACGGGAGGCAGCAGUGAGGAAUAUUGGUCAAUGGGCGGAAGCCUGAACCAGCCAUGCCGCGUGCAGGAAUGAGGCCCUAUGGGUCGUAAACUGCUUUUGCUGCGGAGCAAUAAGUGCCACGUGUGACACGAUGAGAGUACGCAGCGAAUAAGCAUCGGCUAACUCCGUGCCAGCAGCCGCGGUAAUACGGAGGAUGCGAGCGUUAUCCGGAUUUAUUGGGUUUAAAGGGUGCGUAGGCUGUUCGUCAAGUCAGUGGUGAAAUGCCGGGGCUCAACCCCGGAGCUGCCAUUGAUACUGUCGGGCUUGAAUCCUGCUGCCGUGGGAGGAAUGAGUAGUGUAGCGGUGAAAUGCAUAGAUAUUACUCAGAACACCGAUUGCGAAGGCAUCUCACGAAACAGGCAUUGACGCUGAGGCACGAAAGCGUGGGGAUCAAACAGGAUUAGAUACCCUGGUAGUCCCCU
This 797-nucleotide ribosomal RNA is filed under the name uncultured Bacteroidota bacterium. RNAcentral describes it as "bacterial SSU rRNA". It matches the Rfam family "Bacterial small subunit ribosomal RNA", at positions 1 to 799 of the family's 1533-position model. The record is from RNAcentral. Lineage: Bacteria; Pseudomonadati; Bacteroidota.